This is a long non-coding RNA of Rosa chinensis, 156 nucleotides long. RefSeq lists it as uncharacterized. The transcript has 3 exons. NCBI's taxonomy places the organism in Eukaryota, Viridiplantae, Streptophyta, Magnoliopsida, Rosales, Rosaceae. The record is from RefSeq and is a predicted model, not a curated record.
CUAAAGCAUUCAAUCAGCCAAAUGUUUCUUUUACUAGCAUGCUUUUGAGUCAGCAUACAUCUGGAAGCACUUAUGCCCCAAACCAUCCAUUCGGAUCAUAUUCUCAACCAAGCCAGGAGUUGCAUUCAACAACUGAUGAGCAGCAGCAAGGUUCAA